AACGCUAGCUACAGGCUUAACACAUGCAGGUCGAGGGGCAGCAUCAUCAAAGCUUGCUUUGAUGGAUGGCGACCGGCGCACUGGUGAGUAACACGUAUCCAACCUGCCGACAACACUGGGAUAGCCUUUCGAAAGAAAGAUUAAUACCGGAUGGCAUAGUCUUCCCGCAUGGGAUGAUUAUUAAAGAAUUUCGGUUGUCGAUGGGGAUGCGUUCCAUUAGGCAGUUGGCGGGGUAACGGCCCACCAAACCAACGAUGGAUAGGGGUUCUGAGAGGAAGGUCCCCCACAUUGGAACUGAGACACGGUCCAAACUCCUACGGGAGGCAGCAGUGAGGAAUAUUGGUCAAUGGACGAGAGUCUGAACCAGCCAAGUAGCGUGAAGGAUGACUGCCCUAUGGGUUGUAAACUUCUUUUAUACGGGAAUAAAGUGAGCCACGUGUGGCUUUUUGUAUGUACCGUAUGAAUAAGGAUCGGCUAACUCCGUGCCAGCAGCCGCGGUAAUACGGAGGAUCCGAGCGUUAUCCGGAUUUAUUGGGUUUAAAGGGAGCGUAGGCGGGUUGUUAAGUCAGUUGUGAAAGUUUGCGGCUCAACCGUAAAAUUGCAGUUGAUACUGGCGACCUUGAGUGCAACAGAGGUAGGCGGAAUUCGUGGUGUAGCGGUGAAAUGCUUAGAUAUCACGAAGAACUCCGAUUG
Molecule: ribosomal RNA, 693 nt
Filed under: uncultured bacterium
Lineage: Bacteria
Description: bacterial SSU rRNA
Rfam family: Bacterial small subunit ribosomal RNA
Source: RNAcentral